AUGUCGAUGGUUCUGGUCAUACCGCCCCACGCACCCAACACAAUUACUCUCUCAUAUUCUCUCUUUUCCUCCCGGAUCUCCGUCCAGAUCUGCGCUCCCGCCACCCUAUAUCCGUUGCCAUGUGUGCAUCAUCUUCCUCUUCCUCUAAUCAGUUGUCCCUACUGCAAGAGGGGAGAUGUGGAAUGGUGGGUGUCCCACACCAAGCUGAACCCCAGGAGGCACUUCUACAAGUGUGGGCGUCACUGGAAAGGCAAAGGUUCUUUCAGAAGUGGGAAGAUGUCUAAAUCGAUGUUCUCAUAG
This 300-nucleotide ribosomal RNA is filed under the name Triticum aestivum (bread wheat). RNAcentral's name for it is "partial small subunit ribosomal RNA". Lineage: Eukaryota; Viridiplantae; Streptophyta; Magnoliopsida; Poales; Poaceae. The record is from RNAcentral.